AAGUCGUAACAAGGUUUCCGUAGGUGAACCUGCGGAAGGAUCAUUACUGAAUUGUCAACACGAGUUGUUGCUGGUCCUCAAAUGGGGGCAUGUGCACACUCUGUUUGCACAUCCACUCACACCUGUGCACCUCCUGUGGUUCUGUGGCCUGGGGGACUAUGUCCUCCCUGCUGUGGUUCUGCACCUUUACACAUACACACUGUAACAAAGUCUCAUGGAAUGUAUGCCGCGUUUAACGCAAUAUAAUACAACUUUCAGCAACGGAUCUCUUGGCUCUC
Molecule: unclassified non-coding RNA, 278 nt
Filed under: air metagenome
Description: partial contains small subunit ribosomal RNA, internal transcribed spacer 1, and 5.8S ribosomal RNA
Rfam family: Eukaryotic small subunit ribosomal RNA (bases 1-46)
Source: RNAcentral